CACAUUGAAACACUAGUACGACCACCGUAGUUAAGUAAUGUAGAGCCUGGUCAGUACUUAGAUGGGUCAUCGCUUGGGAAUAUCAGGUGCUGUAA
Molecule: non-coding RNA, 95 nt
Organism: Acanthosepion pharaonis
Lineage: Eukaryota; Metazoa; Mollusca; Cephalopoda; Sepiida; Sepiidae
Source: the annotation of a GenBank genome assembly